GUGCUCGGGUGGAAAGUGGCGAACGGGUGAGUAACACGUGAGGAACCUGCCCCGAAGACCGGGAUAACACCGGGAAACCGGUGCUAAUACCGGAUGCCCUCGCUGGAUCGCAUGGUCCGGUGAGGAAAUGGAUUCCGCUUCGGGAUGGCCUCGCGGCCUAUCAGCUUGUUGGUGAGGUAACGGCUCACCAAGGCGACGACGGGUAGCUGGUCUGAGAGGAUGUCCAGCCACACUGGGACUGAGACACGGCCCAGACUCCUACGGGAGGCAGCAGUGGGGAAUCUUGCGCAAUGGGCGAAAGCCUGACGCAGCGAUGCCGCGUGCGGGAUGAAGGCCUUCGGGUUGUAAACCGCUUUCAGCAGGGACGAA
Molecule: ribosomal RNA, 369 nt
Filed under: uncultured bacterium
Lineage: Bacteria
Description: bacterial SSU rRNA
Rfam family: Bacterial small subunit ribosomal RNA
Source: RNAcentral